Molecule: long non-coding RNA, 6609 nt
Filed under: Sus scrofa (pig)
Lineage: Eukaryota; Metazoa; Chordata; Mammalia; Artiodactyla; Suidae
Description: lncRNA (ENSSSCG00025062728.1)
Source: RNAcentral
CAAAAGAACUAGUACUUUCAGUGAUUCCAAGGAAAUAAAGCAAAACCCAGCAGCAGUGGUGGAAUGCACACACCACGCACACAAUUUUUUUCCUCUUUUCAUGAAUCUUCCAUAUUUAAAAAAAUAACCAUUGUAGAGAUUGCUAGUCUUCCCAGUAUGCAUAUUCAGCAGGAUUAUCCUUCCUUGGGGUUUCUCUUCCUUGGCUUUUGUUUAUUGUUGGAUCAUGUAACCAGUUCUGACCAAUAAGUGGUGACCCAUGUGAUUAGAGAAAAUGGUCAGAAUUGCCUUGGAGCCACUGCAUUUAAUUUCCAGUGCAACCGUUCUAACACCAAGGAACUCCAAGUCUUGUGUUGAGAUUGAGGUACCUUAAAAUAGAAGCUUCCUGCACUGCUGAGCAGUGGGCCAGGAGGGCAGCUACCCUGAAGCUUGGCAUGCUAUAGAUUUUGUAUGAAAAGGAAAUAAACUUUUACUGGGUUAUGCCCUGAGAUUAUGGUGGUAUUUGCUGCCACGGCAUCACCUAGUCUAUUCCAACGAAUAUAGUAACACAUAUAACUUAUAUACUAUAUAUAACUUACAUACUAAAAAGAAUUAUUACCAGAGUUCCCUUAUAGUGCAGUAGGUUAAGGAUCCGGUGUUGUCACUGCAGCGGCUCUGCUUGCUGCUGUGCUGUGGGUUUGGUCCCUGGCCUGGGAAUUUCCACAUGCCUUGGGUGCACCCCCCAAAAAAAUUAUUGCUAUUCCAUGAAAUAUAAUCAAACAUGUACCGUAAUCAGAAAUGUUCCCAUUGUGGCUCAGCAGGUUAAAAACCCGACGUAGUGUCUCUGAGGAUGUGGGUUCGAUCCUUGGCCUUACUCAGUGGGUUAAAAAUCUGGCAUUGCCCCAAGUGGCAGCAUAGGUCGAAGACGUGGCUCAGAUCUGGUGUUGCCGUCGCUGUGGUGUAGGCCAGCAGCUGUGGCUCUGAUUUAACCCCUAGCCCAGGAACCCCAGUGUGGCUACAAAUUAAAAAAAAAAAAUGUUUGUAUCUGCAGUUUCCAUUGUGGUGCAGCGCAAACAAAUCCGACUAGGAACCAUGAGGUUGUGGGUUUGAUCCCUGGCCUCGCUCAGUGGGUUAAGGAUCUGGCAUUGCUGUGAGCUGGGGUGUAGUUUGCAGAUACGGCUCGGAUCUGGCUUUGCUGUGGCUGUGGUGUAGGCUGACAGCUGAAGCUCCGAUUCAACCCCUAGCCUGGGAACCUCCACAUAUUGUGGGUGCAGCCCUAAAAAGCCAAAAAAAAUAUUUUUUUAAAUGUCAAAUUAUGUUUGUAAUGAAUAAUCAUACUAAGAUUGAUUUGCAGUCAAGAUCGCUUUUUUCAAUGAAGGGAUAUUGGUUUGUAAUGAAUGAUUAGCUCAAUCAUAGACAUGUAGUAUUAUUGGGAGGGACCUCAAAGUUUUAUUUUGCACAUUCUCCAAGUUCAUAUAUAGAGAGGUAUUAAAAACCUCUCUACUACAAAAACCAUCUACUUCAAAUGAGUUGUCUAAACCAGUGGGUUUCCAAACCUUGCCAAGCUGAGUUACCAGGAGAAUGUAACAAAAAUUGAGACUCCUAAGUCACACCCUGGAGUUUUGGCUAAGGAGAUCUAGGAUAGGAGGACCUAGAAAUGGUGUUUUGAGACAUCUGCUGUGUGAUUUCAAUCACAGGUCUGGGACUCACAGGUUUAUUAGAGGAUGACUUUCAAAUUGCAUUUGUCAAUUCUUAAAAUUAAGCUUCAUUUCAAUUUUGUAUUCAUGUUAAAACUGAAAUCACUUUUGUAAAUUCAGGUCAAAUUCUCUAGAAGCAGAAUCCAAAAUGGGGAUUCAUGUGCAUGAGAUUUAUUAAAGCGGGCUCUCAGGAAAAACCUGUAAGGGAACGAAGAAAGCUGCACAGGGAGGGAGAAGAAGCCGCGUCAUAAUAUGAUUUCAGCAAAGUCUAGUCUCAGCAUGAUCUUGCAGGGACUUCAGAAGUGCAAAUUGCACCAUAGAGCUUAUCUCACCUUGAGUCAAGGAAGCUGGGCUUCUUCUGCACCCCCACCCCCACCACUGGGUAGUCAUUGGCCAUAGGCAGCCUUGGUUGGGGGGUAAUGUAAAUUGUGAGGGGGCUGUGAUCACCCAAAGAUAAUUUGGAGGUGGGGUUUGGUGAGCUCUUAGCUGGAAUUCAGUUGACAGCUGGGGAAUAAGUGUAUGAAACUGGAAGAGGGGAGCUCAGGGGCACCAAUAGCAUCUGCUAUAGUCUCCUUCUCCUAUCACUUAGGUCCACUUGCAUCUCAGGUUGAAUUCACUUCCUCUUGUCUUUGCUUCUCCAGGAUUCUGGAUGGCCACAAUUUGUAGUGAAAGAUACAAGAGAGGGAUGGAAUGAGUUACAGCCCCCAGUUCUGUAGCUGGCCUCCAGGCUGCCACUGACACUUACCAUUUUGCUUCUUUCUUCACCCAUUAGAACUUCUCUUCACCUUUGCUUACUUAGCAUCUUUGCUGGUCUAGGUGGUUUGACUUGGUGGAGUGACCUAGAUCUUGGGGCCAGGGGUUGGGGGACAUCUGAACCCCUUGUUAUCAUGUCUUUAUCAGGCCAUGAUUGUUUCCCAUUUAUGGUUAAACUUGGGCAUGAGAGGAGGAAGAAGAAGAAGAGAAUAUAUUUGCAAUAGUAGCAAAUUCUUUUUUUUUUUUUUUUUUUUUUGGUCUUUUUGCCAUUUCUUGGGCUACUCCCGUGGCAUAGAGAGGUUGCCAGGCUAGGGGUUGAAUCGGAGCUGUAGCCACCGGCCUAUGCCAGAGCCACAGCACUGCGGGAUCCGAGCUGCGUCUGCAACCUAUACCACAGCUCAUGGCAGCGCCGGGUCCUUAACCCACUGAGCAAGGCCAGAGAUCGAACCCGCAACCUCAUGGUUACUAGUCGGAUUCGUUAACCAUUGAGCCACGACGGGAACUCCAAUAGUAGCAAAUUCUUAGUGGUAAGAAUAGGUCACUCCUGGAAGUAUGAUGAAGCUUGCUUGGGCUGGUGGUGUACUGGCAUAAGGAGCACAACGUAUCCAGGAGGCAGCCAGAGUUUUAAGGUCAAUGAGACUCUUAACUGAUUCAUUCAUUUUAUUGAAAUAUAAUUGAUUUACAUUAUUGUGCUAAUUUCUGCUAUACAGAAAAUGAUUCAGCUAUAUAUAUGUAUAUAUGUGUAUAUAUACACAUACACAGCCCCAUUUCCAUUAUGGUUUAUCAUAGGAUAUUGAAUAUAGUUCCCUGUGCAACACAGUAAGACCUUGCUGUUUAUCCAUUCUAUAUACACCAGUUUGCAUCUGCUAAUCCCAAACUCCCAUUCCAUCCCUCCUUCCCCUUUUAUAACCACUAGUCUGUUCUCUAUGUCUGUGAAUGAGAUUCUUAUUUUGUUCCCUGGUAUAAACAAGCUCCUUCUCGGGACCAGGAUCUCUAGAUUCCUGAGUCCAGAGUUGAGGCUUGGGAAGCAGAUUCCCUAAGUGGGUCAUAGGAAGUAGAGGUGAGUGGGGGGCCCUCUUGUUUCUCUCUCUUGGUUCCUGGAUGGAAUAUUUUGCCCAUGAGGGACAUUCCACCUACAAGGGCUAUUGGUUUAAGGACACCUGACACCUUGCCUGCAUCUUUAAGAGGCUGUUUAAGCAGGAUCGGAUUAGCCACUUUGGGAUGUGUGAUAUGUGAUAAGACUAGUGGGUUCCACGUGCCCACUGUUUUCUUCUUUGGCCAUUAAUAGGGCUCCUUGGUCCAAGGCAAUAGUGUCCGUGGCUCCCUGUUGGUAAAUCAGCUACCAUGUGCAGGAAUGGGACUAGAAUGAGGAGAAUGAGGUGCCUAGGGUGCACACCUUAAGAUGACACUCUGUACUUUUUUGUAUUGUCUCCCCUGGAUCCUGGCCCUGUUCCAUGAGCCUUCGGAUACUGGCACUCAUGGAGACACUUUAGGCAAGAAAGGCAAAUGAUGUCCCCAGAAUAUGUGCCGGUCCUAGUCAGGAUGGAUUGCUGCCAUUUCCAGGAUGGAAGUUAUGGCUCAAAUGCCAGUAGGUGGCUGAUUGGCCUCCUUGAGGGAUGGUACCAUAUUGGGAGCCCGGGUUUUGGUCUCUGUUGCUGACAGCUUGGACAUGAGCAGUGGCGGUAGCCAGAUCAACCUUGGUGAGAGGGAUAUGGUGCUAUAGGGCCGGUGUCUAAUCUCCAUCUCUGUUGCCAUGACUGCUCCACUCACCAUCCCAUUGCACCAACACUGGAGUGGCCAAGGACAGAGGUUGGCUAACAUCUCCUGGAUCUUGUCCACUUGAUUGUUUCAUGCCUUUCCUGGAGCAGAAGCUCUCUGGUGGGUGCUGAUGUGGGGUACAAAGUGUACAUACAGUUCAUUGGCUUUUAAUAGCUUCACAGAGUUGCACAAACAUCCCCACAAUGUAAUUUUAGUCCAUUUCAUCACCCCAAAAAGAAACCCUGUACCCUUUAGCAGUUAUUCCCAUUCUUGGUCCUCUCCCCAUCCCCCAGUCCUAGCCCCAAGCAACCACUAAUCUCCUUUCUGUCUCUAUGGAUUUUUCUGUUCUGUGCAUUUCACAUAAACAAAAUCAUAGAAUUUGUGGUUUUUUGUGUCUGGCUUCUCGUACUGAACAUAGUGUUUGCAAGGUUCAUCUCUAACAUGUAUCAGUACUUCCUUAUUUUUUAUUGCCAAAUGUUGGCCAUUCUAUGGAUAUACAUUUGGUUUAUGCAUUCAUCAAAUGAUGUACAUUUAGGUUGUUUCCACGUAUUGGCAGUUAUGAAUAAUGCUGCUAUGAACAUUUGCGCACAGGUUUUUGAGUGGACAUAUUUUUUCAUUUCUCUUGGGUUGCUGGGUCAGAUGGUAACUCUAUCUUUAGCAUUUUGAGAAACUGCCAAACGUUCCCCACAGCGGCUUCGCCAUUUUAUAUUUCCACCAGCAAUGUAUGAGUGUUGCUCUUUUUCUACUGCAGAUGCCCUUAGAACCAUGGGAUCUGGGGGUCAUAUGGCCCAUGUGACAGGGUUGCUCGUUCUCCAGGCAGAACUUGCUGCAGAAACCCUCUCUUGCUUUGGGUUCUUCUCAAAACUGGCCUCCUUCCACAUCAUUCAAUAGAUAGGUCAGAGCAGGAUCCCCCCGUGUGAACUCUGCUGCUUCCAAAACCCCAAGAGGCUUACCAAGGCUCUUUCUUGGUGGCAGUAGGUAUAAGGAACAAUAGCCUGUCUUUUACUUUGAAGGGGAUGUCCUGACAAAUCACUGAACUCCCUAAAAACUUCACAGAUAGGGGAAGCAAGCCCCUGAAUAUUUGCGAUAUUAUCUCUUGGAUAUCCAGAUUAGUUCCCACUUCAUGAUGACCAGGUCUAGUUAAUAUGAUGUCAUCCAUGUAGAGGACCCAUAUGAUAUUUUCUGGAAUGUUCUGAUGGUCCAUGUCUCUUCAGAAUAUUUUGCAACAGAGGAGGUCCUGUUGUGGCCCAGUGGUAACAAACUUGACUCAUAUCCAUGAGGACAUGGGUUUGAUGCCUGGCCUCGCUCAGUGGGUUAAAGGAACUGAUGUUGCCGUGAGCUGUGGUAUAGGUUGCAGAUGUGGCUCAGAUCUGCGUUGCUGUGGUUGUGGUGUAGGCUGGCAGCUGCGGCUCUGAUUUGACCCCUAAGCUGGGAACUCCUAUAUGCUGCAGGUGUGGCCUUAAAAAGACCAAAAAAAAAAAAAAUUUUUUUUUUGCAACAGAGAGCAUAAUUGUUAUAUACUUUUGCCUGUCAUACCUGAAGCAAAAUCCUUCCAGUCCUGCUUCCUGGUGGGUAUUAAAAAUAAUGCAUUUGCCUCAUCAAAAGCCAUACCAUGUACCAGAGGCCAUGUUACUAUGUUCUAGUGAAGAUGGCAGAUCUAGCACAGCAGUUGUACUUGGUACUGCUUCAGUCAGUAGUCCAUUGUCAUCUGCCGUGUUCAUUUGCUUUUACAAAGGCCAGACUAGUGAAUCAAAUGGACAUAUGGGCAAGACAACAACCUCUGCAUCAUUUAAAUCUUCAAGGAUAGUACUAAUCUUUGCUAUUCCCCUGGGAAUGCAAUGUUGUUUUUUUAUUUAUUAUUUUGUCUCAAAGAGGGUAUAGUUUCAGGGACUUCCAUUUGAUCUUUCACUCUAUAGUGGCUUUUACUCUAUAGGCCAAGGAACCAAUAUGGGCUUUUGCUAACUGCUAGGUAAUAUCGUUCCAAUUAUAUAUUUAAGAGCUGGGGAGAUGGUUACCAGUUGGUCUGUGGACUUGGUGGGUUCACUGUUGAGAUGGACUUGACCCAGGAUUCCAUUUAUUACUUCACCUUCAUCUGCUAUUUCUGUUAUAGGGGGCAGUGAUGGUGCUUUGGAUCCCUGGUGUCAGUUCAGACUCUGUAAAUAACAGCCCAAAGAUCUAGGUAUUUCUUUUAACCCAAACAUUGUACUACAGUUACCCAAAUACUGGCAGUUACCCAAAUACUUUGAGAAAGGACUGGAGGAAUCACUACUAUCCACACUUAUUUUAGGGUGUGUCCCCAAGGGGACUCAGCCUUUCUGUCUUUUAAAAAAUUAAAAUAUGGAUUUUUUUAAAAAAGCUUUUUUUGGGAAACAAUUUCAAACUUACAGAAAAAUUGUAUGACAAGUACAAAGAAAUUUUGCAUGGU